UACAGAGGGUGCAAGCGUUGUUCGGAAUUAUUGGGCGUAAAGCGCGUGUAGGCGGCUUUGCAAGUCUUGUGUGAAAUCCCUCGGCUUAACCGAGGAAGUGCGCAGGAAACUGCAGAGCUUGAGUACCGGAGAGGAUGGUGGAAUUCCCCAAGUAGAGGUGAAAUUCGUAGAUAUGGGGAGGAACACCGGUGGCGAAGGCGACCAUCUGGACGGAUACUGACGCUGAGACGCGAAAGCGUGGGGAGCAAACAGG
Molecule: ribosomal RNA, 253 nt
Filed under: uncultured bacterium
Lineage: Bacteria
Description: partial 16S ribosomal RNA
Rfam family: Bacterial small subunit ribosomal RNA
Source: RNAcentral